This 1311-nucleotide long non-coding RNA is filed under the name Bos grunniens (domestic yak). Its description in RNAcentral is "lncRNA (ENSBGRG00000008183.1)". Lineage: Eukaryota; Metazoa; Chordata; Mammalia; Artiodactyla; Bovidae. The record is from RNAcentral.
GGGAUGGACGAGUUCAAUUCUGCAGAAAAGCUUGUUGCCUCGGUGAGUGUGGGCUAAACAUGAGAGGGGAGGUGGGCUGCCUUUUCCCCAUGUCCCUGCUAUCAGUCUCCCUGACCCUGCCACCCCUCUGUUCCAGCUCGUGAAAAAUUCAUGUAUGGAAAUGAUGGCUGGGGACACACACUUUGUCUGUUUAGGAGACAAAACCGAAGCAAGUUGCUGAGUAUCUGCCAGCUCCAAUUUCAUCUCCAAGAAGUAGAAAUAGCAACACUAUCAGAUCUUCAGUGAGAUGUAGACCCAGUGGAGUUCCCAAUGACUGGCACAGAGUCUAGAAACUAGUGGCUUUCACCAACAGGAGCUGGUUUUAAGACUUCUAUCACUGACCCCUGGCUCUGCCCCCACCUUCCUGCUGAGUCCAGGUUGGGGAGGGAAGUGGUUAAAGAACACCCAGGAUGAAAGCAUCUCUAGCUGAGCCCUCUGUGGGUGGAAUCUGUCUGACUCCUCCUGUCUCUGACCCUGUGAGCGGCAGUGCAGUGUGGUGAGAGACCCUAUAUAUGUGCAGAGCCCUUUCCUGCACAUUCCAGCUGUGCAGCAACCCGACAGCUGCCAUUCUCUGAUCAUGUCGCCAGGACAUUCACAGGCCUGUUAGACCUCAGUGGACACUGUCAUUCCCGCCCUGUGGUGACCUGGCUGGGAUGCAAGUGCCUGCUGCUCACGCCCUGCCAGUGAGGCCCUGCGGUGCUGCUCUGACCUUAACAACUGCUGUCGUCUUGUCAAAAGCUGCCACGCAGCAUGACUGUCACUGAAAUGGGAAGUUCAAGGCAGGAAGCCGGACCCCAAAUAAAGCAGAAGAAUCUGGUCAUCAGGCUGUCAUUCUGAAUACAUCCAAGGUUCAAAUGAGGGGAAUGCCAGGAGGGAGUAUGCAUGAGGCACGUGGCCUCUUCAGCCUCUCAGGCUCCCUCCAGCACUAAGCAGAGGCCCCUCUGGCCUCCCUGCCUCCAGGCCUGUGCUCCUCUGUGCCCGUUCUCUACGCAGAGCCUGAGAAGCUGAGAAGGCCACUGCCCUAACCCACUGACCACGAAGGCUGAGGCCCCCAAGCCAGACAACCAUGCCCUCUAACAUCCAGCCUCUGCUCUAAGCCCACCUGCUGAAGAGACUGGUGAGCGUGGGCCUAGACUUCCUGGAAGACCUUCCUCAGCUUGCUGGCUCCAAGUACUGAGACUUUACUCUCAGAGUGCCUCAAACCCGAAAUCUUUCCUAGUCAGCUGGCUCCUCUGGCUUCCCACAGCCCUUGGCCUCUUCUUAUUAUAGUCC